GAGAUUUCAUUAAAAUGCUAGAUAAUUUACAGAGUUAUCUCCCUUUUAAUGUAUGUAUACUCUUGAUAUUUGAUUGUUGUUCACCAGUGUAUGUUUUAGUUGUGAAUCCUUUUUGAAACUUAUUUUGUGACAAUUUUCGUGUGAAAUCCAGAACAGAAUUAAAUCAUGCUAGAAGCUGGUUAUUCACAAGUAAAUGACGAGGGGAAAUAGAACACACUAU
RNAcentral lists this long non-coding RNA (220 nucleotides) under Mytilus galloprovincialis (Mediterranean mussel). The record is from RNAcentral. Lineage: Eukaryota; Metazoa; Mollusca; Bivalvia; Mytilida; Mytilidae.